RNAcentral lists this ribosomal RNA (2118 nucleotides) under Triticum aestivum (bread wheat). RNAcentral describes it as "partial small subunit ribosomal RNA". Lineage: Eukaryota; Viridiplantae; Streptophyta; Magnoliopsida; Poales; Poaceae. The record is from RNAcentral.
AUGUUUCUCCCUUCGCACGGCCACCGCCGUCCUCCUCUUCCGCGCCGCCGGGGAGCAUCGUCGCGCCGCGGCGUCGACGGCCUUACUACCUCGCCCCGCCGAGCAGGAUGCCUCUUCUUCCUCCUCCUCGCCUUCGUCGUCCUCGCCGCCGCACUGCUCCACCGUGCCGCCUCCUCCACCACAGCACGCGCCGGCCACCACCAUCGCGAGGAAGGCGACCUCCGGACCGCCGCUCCGAGGGUCACGAUCUUCUCGGCGCCGCUCCGCCCGCCCGACGGCUCGCCCGCGCGGCAGGAGCUGGCGGUGCGGUCGUGGCUGGCGCUCCCGUGGGACGUCACCGUCGUGCUCCUCGGCUCCCACCCGUCGACGCUCGCGCUCGCCGGGCGGCUCGGACGCCGGGUCACCGUCGAGGCCGCCGUCGAUUCCUCGUUCAUGGGGACGCCAUUCUUCCACUCCAUGAUCGCAAGGGCGCAAGCCGCCGCCGACUCCGACAUCUGCGUCCUCGUCGACGCCGAAGUCGUUCUGCUCCCCGAAGCCGUCACAUUACUGACAGAUCUCAGCAGAAUUGACCGUGAUUGGCUCCUCGUUUCAAUGUCACGCAACGUUUCCAGCUUCCCCUACAAUCUCGCCCACAGUGCGAUGCUAGAGGAGAUUCAGGCUGGCAAAUGGGCAGCAGAUGGCAGCGACAGGGGGCUCGUUCUCGCGUGGAACAAUCCGGGCCGUCCAUUGCUAGCAGGAGUUGUGCCUUCCUUUCUGUAUGGAAGAGGGGCGCACAGCUGGUGGCUGGCCCAUGAGGUUCUGUCAUCUGAAACGAGACUCGUCUUCGAUGCAAGCAGUCUAGUUCUUGGGCUAUACCCCGAAGAUUUCACCGCAAAGCGCGGCGCUGGUUUGAGUAGCAGCGGUAGAUUACCUGAUGGAUCAUGGGAGAGCGGUGUCAAUCGCCAUCUCGCUUCGGUUUAUGGGUCGUAUUGCCAUCGUCCGCCAGGAGGACAUCAUCAUUCUUUUUCCAUGCUGUAUGAAGUGGUAAAGCAUUCUGAAGAUUACAUGUUGAGCAAAGUUGAGGAGCCUAGCUUCUCAAAUUUUGUCAUAGGUAGAGAACAGAAUACCCAUGAAGGGUUUGGUAAGCCAUGGAACAAAGAGAACAACUGCUUGUCUGACCAUCUGCCAAGCUAUUCUUCAGAAAACCCGGAGGCAGCUGAUGCUCCAUAUUCUCUAGAAAUGCUCCUUCAGUUUGUAACAGAUGAGAAUCGGUCUGUUGUUCUUGGUGUAGCUGGGGCAAGUUACAGGGACAUGCUCAUGAGCUGGGUGUGCCGCUUGCGCCAUCUCAGAGUCACCAAUUUUGUAGUCUGUGCUCUAGAUCAAGAGACAUACGAAUUCGCCGUCUUGCAGGGUUUGCCAGUUUUCAGAGAUCCAACGUCGCCAAAGAACGUCAGUUUUGAUGACUGCCACUUUGGAACCCAGUGUUUUAAGCGAGUGACGAAGGUUAAAUCGUGCAUUGUUCUGGAGAUUAUAAGGAUGGGGUACAAUGUGCUGCUGAGUGAUGUUGAUGUCUAUUGGUUUCGAAAUCCAGUGAAGUUCCUGUAUUCUCUUGGACCAGCAACAUUUGCAGCACAAUCAGAUGAAUUCAAUGAGACAGGGCCAAUAAACAUGCCACGCCGCCUAAAUUCGGGUUUCUACUACGCCCGAUCAGACAGCGCCACCAUCACCACAAUGGAUAUGGUAGUGAAGCACGCGGCCAAAUCAAACUCAUCAGAGCAGCCAAGCUUCUAUGACGUCUUGUGUGGGAAGGGGGGUGUGAACCGCCUCGGCGAUGACAGAUGCUUAGAGCCUAGCACGAACCUCACUGUUGUGUUCCUGGACCGGGACAAGUUUCCCAAUGGAGCUUACAAGGGACUUUGGGAGAGGCACGAUCUGCGCUUGGCUUGCAGGAACCUUGGGUGCUUCAUCAUCCACAAUAACUGGGUAAACGGGAGGAAGAAGAAACUCUGGCGACAGACAGCGUCCGGACUGUGGGACUAUGAUCCUAGCUCCAGGAUAUGCUUGCAGAGCUGGGGUGAAGCAAGUAGUAGCUUCACAGCGGCCGAGCAGUUUCAUGCGUCUGAGGACACAGAAAGUUAG